This 148-nucleotide non-coding RNA is filed under the name Homo sapiens (human). Lineage: Eukaryota; Metazoa; Chordata; Mammalia; Primates; Hominidae. The record is from Rfam by way of RNAcentral.
GCUGGGUGUGGUGCCGUGCACCUGUAAUCCCAGCUACUCGGGAGGCUGAGGCAGGAGAAUUGCUUGAACCCGGGAGGUGGAGGUUGCAGUGUGCCGAGAUCGCACCACUGCACUCCAGCCUGGGUGACAGAGCAAGACUCCAUCUCUG